GCACAAGCGGUGGAUGAUGUGGUUUAAUUCGAUGCAACGCGAAAACCUUACCCACCUUUGACAUGUACGGAAGUUGCCAGAGAUGGCUUCGUGCUCGAAAGAGAGCCGUAACACAGGUGCUGCAUGGCUGUCGUCAGCUCGUGUCGUGAGAUGUUGGGUUAAGUCCCGCAACGAGCGCAACCCUUGUCAUUAGUUGCUACGAAAGGGCACUCUAAUGAGACUGCCGGUGACAAACCGGAGGAAGGGUGGGGAUGACGUCAAGUCCUCAUGGCCCUUAUAGGUGGGGCUACACACGUCAUACAAUGGCUGGUACAAAGGGUUGCCAACCCGCGAGGGGGAGCCAAUCCCAUAAAGCCAGUCGUAGUCCGGAUCGCAGUCUGCAACUCGACUGCGUGAAGUCGGAAUCGCUAGUAAUCGUGGAUCAGCAUGUCACGGUGAAUACGUUCCCGGGUCUU
Molecule: ribosomal RNA, 455 nt
Filed under: uncultured Comamonadaceae bacterium
Lineage: Bacteria; Pseudomonadati; Pseudomonadota; Betaproteobacteria; Burkholderiales; Comamonadaceae
Description: bacterial SSU rRNA
Rfam family: Bacterial small subunit ribosomal RNA
Source: RNAcentral